GACAAGGGUACGGAUAUGGGUAUUGAGAACCUGGAUCAAGGGUUCACUCACAUCUUUGAAUCUACCUUUGGGAGUACUAACGGAGUUGCGGAGUAUGUAUCUCAUCCUCUACAUGUUAAAUUUACCAAUUUGUUCUUACCUGCUUCGGAGAAAGUUCUUGUGAUUGACUACAAGCCCACUACUCUUCGCCUCUAAACUGUGAGGGUAA
Molecule: unclassified non-coding RNA, 208 nt
Filed under: Hevea brasiliensis (rubber tree)
Lineage: Eukaryota; Viridiplantae; Streptophyta; Magnoliopsida; Malpighiales; Euphorbiaceae
Source: RNAcentral